UGGGGAAUUUUGGACAAUGGGCGAAAGCCUGAUCCAGCAAUGCCGCGUGUGUGAAGAAGGCCUUCGGGUUGUAAAGCACUUUUGUCCGGAAAGAAAUCCUUGGCUCUAAUACAGUCGGGGGAUGACGGUACCGGAAGAAUAAGCACCGGCUAACUACGUGCCAGCAGCCGCGGUAAUACGUAGGGUGCAAGCGUUAAUCGGAAUUACUGGGCGUAAAGCGUGCGCAGGCGGUUUGCUAAGACCGAUGUGAAAUCCCCGGGCUCAACCUGGGAACUGCAUUGGUGACUGGCAGGCUAGAGUAUGGCGGAGGGGGGUAGAAUUCCACGUGUAGCAGUGAAAUGCGUAGAGAUGUGGAGGAAUACCGAUGGCGAAGGCAGCCCCCUGGGCCAAUACUGACGCUCAUGCACGAAAGCGUGGGGAGCAAACAGGAUUAGAUACCCUGGUAGUCCACGCCCUAAACGAUGUCAACUAGUUGUUGGGGGAUUCAUUUCCUUAGUAACGUAGCUAACGCGUGAAGUUGACCGCCUGGGGAGUACGGUCGCAAGAUUAAAACUCAAAUGAAUUGACGGGGUCAU
RNAcentral lists this ribosomal RNA (575 nucleotides) under uncultured bacterium. Its description in RNAcentral is "partial 16S ribosomal RNA". It matches the Rfam family "Bacterial small subunit ribosomal RNA", at positions 355 to 922 of the family's 1533-position model. The record is from RNAcentral.